Molecule: long non-coding RNA, 1098 nt
Filed under: Fragaria vesca (wild strawberry)
Lineage: Eukaryota; Viridiplantae; Streptophyta; Magnoliopsida; Rosales; Rosaceae
Description: long non-coding RNA (FVES_LNC004790)
Source: RNAcentral
AUGUCUAAAGAGCAUGUAUCUCUGGUACUAGAAAGCGAGGCGUUUUUUUAGUGUCUUUAGAGAAACAUUUUUUUGAAUUAUCUAAAAAAUCAAGGUAAUAGAAAAUUCUCAAAGAAAAUAAAAAUAAGUUAUUGUGGGCACACUACCAGGACAAGCACUUUAGCUGACGAAAAAGUUUCGUCGGCCAGUUAGCUUAAUUCGUCGGCUAAGAUUUCGUCGGGAAAAUGUUGUAUGUGGUGACUUUAGCCAACAGAAAAAAAAAUUUCGUCGACUAUAGUCCCACAGUUUAGCCGACGAAAAACAUGUCGUCGGUUUUUUUCCCAGACUUUAGCCGACGAAACAAUUAAGAUAUUCGUCGGUUAAAGUCUGUAAUAAAAAAUUUUUCCCAGACUAUAGCCGACGAAAUAUAGUCUGUUUCGUCGGCUAAACCUUAUAAAAAAAAAAAUAAUAACUAUAGCCGACGAAAUAUAGUCUGUUUCGUCGGCUAAACCUUAAAAAAAAUUUAAAAAAAUAACUACAGCCGACGAAAUAUGCCGUAAUUCGUCGGCUAAACCUUAUAAAAAAAAUUUAAAAAUACUAUAUCGUCGGCUAAACCUUUAAAUAUCGUCAGCUAAAGUUGCUGGUUUUUGAAAGAAAAAAACUAGGGCUGGGCAUAUGUCGGUGCGGGUCGGGUUUGGCCCAAAACCGAUUUCAACCCGUUUUAACCGGUUUGGAGAAAUAAGCAACCGAUAACCGUUUUUAAAUGGUUUGGGCCGAAAAAACCGGUUUAACCGAAAUCCGGGUCGGGUCGGGUCGGUUUCAGUUAAAACCGGGUCAAAUUUUAUUUUUUAAAUUUUCAGGCCCAACUUAGAAGAAUUGAAGCCCAAACCUGUUUUCAUUUACAUUUUCAACAAAUUUAUCUAACAGUUCAAUACUUCAUACUUUUACAAACCUGCAUAACUUCCAAAAAUUUGAAUAGAAGCUGAUAAACACAGACUAAUUCAUCCAUCAUACUUAGAAACUUAAAAACAUCACAAAUACCAUAAGUUCAAUAGAUUAAAUACCAUAACCAUCAUAAAUACAAAAUUUGGUUCAAAUACCAAAUGACAACCCAUGUUC